AUGACAUAUUUACCGGUACUUCUCUUCGAAGGUUCAGUGGAAGGGAAGUUGUUGUGUGCUAAAAAGUGUAACGCACAAACAGACGGAUGGACGGACCCAUUUUAAUGGAAUUGAAACUGUGUGAAUCAACCAGAAGUGAAAUCCUACAGAGAAUCAAACUAUGCACUCAGUUGAAGCCAGUCAUAUGUUCGAUUUAACAGUGCUGUUAAGAAGUUAAUAAAUUGAAACCAUUUUUGUGUAGAUCAUUGUAAAACCAAAUUUUUUUUUGACCCAAUGUGCCCCGUGUGUGGGGUACACUGGGUCACACUAUGGGACACAGUUGGCCAUCAUGUAUGUUUCUUUUAAAAAAAAUGUAUA
Patella vulgata (common limpet) is the source of this 357-nucleotide long non-coding RNA. RefSeq lists it as uncharacterized. The transcript has 3 exons. Lineage: Eukaryota; Metazoa; Mollusca; Gastropoda; Patellidae. The record is from RefSeq and is a predicted model, not a curated record.